CCAACACCCCUACCCCAAACAACAACAAGCAUAUUAGAAGCUUCCAUGCAGUGUUAUCCUUUCAGAACUGCUUUCAGGCAGGAAGCUGUGUAUCCCCCUAGCCAAGUGUAAAAUUUUACCUCCUGCACCACUUGUUGGCAAUCAAACUCUUCUUGUCUGAAGACAAAAUUGUUACGAUGUCUCCAUAUAUAACUACCAUCAUCACAUCAGUUGCAGUCUUUCCUGAACAAGCACCCCUCUGUUGUAAAUAAUGCAUAGAGAAAGAGUCUAGAAGAACACAACAUUCAUUGAACCAACUUAAGCAGCAACUCCACACUUCAUAGCUG
This 326-nucleotide long non-coding RNA is filed under the name Glycine max (soybean). RNAcentral describes it as "long non-coding RNA (GMAX_LNC003290)". Lineage: Eukaryota; Viridiplantae; Streptophyta; Magnoliopsida; Fabales; Fabaceae. The record is from RNAcentral.